This 298-nucleotide long non-coding RNA is filed under the name Physcomitrium patens. Its description in RNAcentral is "long non-coding RNA (PPAT_LNC000549)". The record is from RNAcentral. Lineage: Eukaryota; Viridiplantae; Streptophyta; Bryopsida; Funariales; Funariaceae.
UUUAAAGAUGAGGAUAAAAAUAAUAUAGGCUAUAAGUAUUGGAUUCUCAUCUCCAAGACAUCUUGGUGAUAUUUUUGAGGUAUCAAGGUAACUUAAAGGAGGGAGGGAGAAGCACAAAGUUAUAGUUGUUAUAAUUAUUGUAUCUUUGAUUUUAAUUAAUAAAAAAGACAAGAUUUGGAUCUUGAAAAAAUAACUAUUGUGAUUGAUUGGAAUCUUUGAUUAAAGUAAGAUUUAGAUAAAUCAUUUAAAAUAAGUGUAUUUAUAUGUAUAAAAAGUUUGAAGGAAAAAUCUAAUCAAA